RNAcentral lists this ribosomal RNA (526 nucleotides) under uncultured bacterium. Its description in RNAcentral is "bacterial SSU rRNA". It matches the Rfam family "Bacterial small subunit ribosomal RNA", at positions 981 to 1509 of the family's 1533-position model. The record is from RNAcentral.
UUGACAUCCAGAGAAUUUAGCAGAGAUGCUUAGUGCCUUCGGGAACUCUGAGACGGUGCUGCAUGGCUGUCGUCAGCUCGUGUUGUGAAAUGUUGGGUUAAGUCCCGCAACGAGCGCAACCCUUAUCCUUGUUGCCAGCACGUAAUGGUGGGAACUCAAAGGAGACUGCCGGUGAUAAACCGGAGGAAGGUGGGGAUGACGUCAAGUCAUCAUGGCCCUUACGAGUAGGGCUACACACGUGCUACAAUGGCGCAUACAAAGAGAAGCGACCUCGCGAGAGCAAGCGGACCUCAUAAAGUGCGUCGUAGUCCGGAUUGGAGUCUGCAACUCGACUCCAUGAAGUCGGAAUCGCUAGUAAUCGUAAAUCAGAAUGUUACGGUGAAUACGUUCCCGGGCCUUGUACACACCGCCCGUCACACCAUGGGAGUGGGUUGCAAAAGAAGUAGAUAGCUUAACCUUCGGGAGGGCGUUUACCACUUUGUGAUUCAUGACUGGGGUGAAGUCGUAACAAGGUAGGCGUAGUGCU